Molecule: ribosomal RNA, 169 nt
Filed under: Tricholoma sulphureum
Lineage: Eukaryota; Fungi; Basidiomycota; Agaricomycetes; Agaricales; Tricholomataceae
Description: 5.8S ribosomal RNA
Rfam family: 5.8S ribosomal RNA
About the family: 5.8S ribosomal RNA (5.8S rRNA) is a component of the large subunit of the eukaryotic ribosome. It is transcribed by RNA polymerase I as part of the 45S precursor that also contains 18S and 28S rRNA.
Source: RNAcentral
UACAACUUUCAACAACGGAUCUCUUGGCUCUCGCAUCGAUGAAGAACGCAGCGAAAUGCGAUAAGUAAUGUGAAUUGCAGAAUUCAGUGAAUCAUCGAAUCUUUGAACGCACCUUGCGCUCCUUGGUAUUCCGAGGAGCAUGCCUGUUUGAGUGUCAUGAAAUUAUCAA